GGCACGGUGGUGCAGUGGGUAGCACUGUCGCCUCACAGCAAGAAGGUACGGGGUUCGAAUCCAGCCUGGGCCU
RNAcentral lists this transfer RNA (73 nucleotides) under Anguilla anguilla (European eel). RNAcentral's name for it is "tRNA-OTHER". The record is from RNAcentral. Lineage: Eukaryota; Metazoa; Chordata; Actinopteri; Anguilliformes; Anguillidae.